Molecule: unclassified non-coding RNA, 210 nt
Filed under: plant metagenome
Description: partial contains small subunit ribosomal RNA, internal transcribed spacer 1, and 5.8S ribosomal RNA
Source: RNAcentral
UUUCCGUAGGUGAACCUGCGGAAGGAUCAUUCAUAAUAAGUGUUUUAUGGCACUUUUUAAAAAUCCAUAUCCACCUUGUGUGCAAUGUUAGAUCUCGUCAAUCUUGGCGAGAUUUUUAUACAUCAACUCAUUCUUUAACUAAUUUGUCUGAGAAAUAUUAUGAAUACUUAAUUCAAAAUACAACUUUCAACAACGGAUCUCUUGGCUCUC